Mobula hypostoma (lesser devil ray) is the source of this 1408-nucleotide long non-coding RNA. RefSeq lists it as uncharacterized. NCBI's taxonomy places the organism in Eukaryota, Metazoa, Chordata, Chondrichthyes, Myliobatiformes, Myliobatidae. The transcript is spliced from 4 exons. The record is from RefSeq and is a predicted model, not a curated record.
UUCACAUACAAGACAACAAUGACUCGGUAGGACGUUCACCACCGUGGAUGUAAGGCGGCCCACGAACAUAUGGAGGUUCAAAAUGGGACCAUGAGGAACACGCAGCCAGCAGCCAAAAACUUCUUUUUAACUGGGAUCAUAGGAAUGCUGUCUUAUCUGCCAUCUUUCAACCUUCCAUCCAGUUAAUGCAAGAUAAAUGGUCUGAGGGCCCCGAACAGUCCUUCCAGAUGAAGCAACACUUCACCUGCAAAUCUGUUGGGGUUGUCUACUGUAUCUGGUGCUCCCGAUGUGGCCUCCCCUACACAGGUCCAGAUGAGAUUUUAGCUUCAAUUCUGACUCUUGAGAUAGGAACACUUAAUAUUUAUAUGCAUGAGUGAGGGAGGGCCACAACGACUUUCAAAAUAGAUGUCAAACUGAAGAUGCAUCUGCUUUCUGUUGGAAGUAAAAGAUCCAAAGGAACUACCAUGAAGAGGAGGAAGGGAGAUAAUUUUGGCAUGGAAUUGUUCAAAUAAAAACAAAUUUUCAGUAAUUAUUUUGUCAUUUUGUGGAAUCCUGCUGUGUGUAUAUUGGCUGCUGAGUUUUUUUUACAUUACAACAGGUACUACUCUCCAAAUAUACAGCAAUAGCUUGGUGUACUCAAAGAUACGAAGCAUGCCAAAUUAGUAAGAAGAAUUUUCCUUUUAGGAAAUACGAAUCUUAAUGAGGAUAAUUUAUGGUGAGUUCUUAACACUUUGCUUCCAUUAAUUAAAAAAUAAUAGAAAGUAAAACAUUAUUCAUCACAAAAGGAAAACAAACUUGUUCUGCUGCAUGCAAUUUGUACUAAGGUCUUAACGUUAUCAUGUCAGUGGUGGAUAGCUUUGCAGAUGAAGGGGUAGCAGUUCCUCAGACAUAUGUUUCUAUAGGUUUGAGUAAUUAUUUUGGAUGUGGCUUUCAACAGAGUUGGCCCCGUUUGGGGUUUCAGAAAAUGAACAACAUGAACCAGUUGCAUCAGUAAAGAAUUCCCUUCCUUUCCUAUUUUCUACAUUGGAUGAAUAGUGGAUGAGAAUCAACCAAAACCAGGUCAGUGGUCUUGUGACUUUAAUCUUGGGAAUUUAAUGAAACUGGUCAAAAGCCUGCAGCAGGUUGUACUUGGGGUACUGACAGCCAAGCGGCAGAUUGAUGGUUGCCUGUUGAAUGCUUUGCAAAAACCUGCUACUUUGGAUGGUGGCUAACUCUUAUCUACAUUUGCCCUUCUGCUUGGAGACCCCAAUUAGAGCAGUGGUGUGUGAAGCUUUGCCAUUGGCAGAACAGUAAAAUACAUUGAAGUGCAGCGGCCUCAGCUGUGGUGUGUGUUUAAAAGUCUGGCUUAAACACUUGCAAGCAUCUCUGCACCGCAUCCUUUCUGAUUAUGCAGAAAGCUGACAGACCC